This 649-nucleotide ribosomal RNA is filed under the name uncultured bacterium. Its description in RNAcentral is "bacterial SSU rRNA". It matches the Rfam family "Bacterial small subunit ribosomal RNA", at positions 8 to 632 of the family's 1533-position model. The record is from RNAcentral.
AGAGUUUGAUCCUGGCUCAGAGCGAACGCUGGCGGCGUGCCUAACACAUGCAAGUCGAGCGAGAAAGGGGUGGCAACACCCUGAGUAAAGCGGCGGACGGGUGAGUAACGCGUGGGUAAUCUACCCUCUAGUCUGGGAUAACCUUCCGAAAGGGGGGCUAAUACCGGGUCAUGUCCCUUUGGGGCAUCACAAGGGGAGCAAAGGGGGCGCCCGCAAGGGGCUCUCGCUGGAGGAGGAGCCUGCGUCCGAUUAGCUAGUUGGUGGGGUAAUGGCCCACCAAGGCGACGAUCGGUAGCCGGCCUGAGAGGGCGAUCGGCCACACUGGGACUGAGAUACGGCCCAGACUCCUACGGGAGGCAUCAGUGGGGAAUCUUGCGCAAUGGGCGAAAGCCUGACGCAGCGACGCCGCGUGGGGGACGAAGGCCUUCCGGUUGUAAACCCCUGUCAGGCGGAACGAAUCCCCCGAGGACGAAUACUCCUCGGGGUUGACGGUACCGCCAGAUGAAGCCCCGGUUAACUACGUGCCAGCAGCCGCGGGAAUACGUAGGGGGCUAGCGUUGCUCGGAUUUUCUGGGCGUAAAGAGCGCGUACGCGGCCAGGUAAGUCUGAUGUGAAAGCCCUCUGCUCAACCGACGAUCCGCAUUUGAAA